UAGGGAAUCUUCGGCAAUGGGGGGAACCCUGACCGAGCAACGCCGCGUGAGUGAAGAAGGUUUUCGGAUCGUAAAGCCCUGUUGUUAAGGAAGAACGAGUGUGAGAAUGGAAAGUUCAUACUGUGACGGUACUUAACCAGAAAGGGACGGCUAACUACGUGCCAGCAGCCGCGGUAAUACGUAGGUCCCGAGCGUUGUCCGGAUUUAUUGGGCGUAAAGCGAGCGCAGGCGGUUAGAAAAGUCUGAAGUGAAAGGCAGUGGCUCAACCAUUGUAGGCUUUGGAAACUGUUUAACUUGAGUGCGGAAGGGGAGAGUGGAAUUCCAUGUGUAGCGGUGAAAUGCGUAGAUAUAUGGAGGAACACCGGUGGCGAAAGCGGCUCUCUGGUCUGUAACUGACGCUGAGGCUCGAAAGCGUGGGGAGCGAACAGG
RNAcentral lists this ribosomal RNA (429 nucleotides) under Bacteroidota bacterium. Its description in RNAcentral is "Bacteroidetes bacterium partial 16S ribosomal RNA". It matches the Rfam family "Bacterial small subunit ribosomal RNA", at positions 355 to 776 of the family's 1533-position model. The record is from RNAcentral. Lineage: Bacteria; Pseudomonadati; Bacteroidota.